Molecule: transfer RNA, 67 nt
Filed under: Parablepharis kuhlii asiatica
Lineage: Eukaryota; Metazoa; Arthropoda; Insecta; Mantodea; Hymenopodidae
Description: tRNA-His
Source: RNAcentral
ACUUAUGUAGUUUAAUGAAAACAAUGAUUUGUGGUGUCAUAAAUAUAGAAUUAAUCUAUCUAAAGUU